CUAAAAGAAUGGAAGUUUAAGAAAAAACUUUUUUAAAAAUAAAAAUUAAAUUUUUUUUAAUUUGUGCAAAACCAAUUAUUUAUAUUAAAGACAAGAAGACCCUAUGAAUUUAUGAUUAAAUAAACUAAAAAUUUUUAGUUUAUUUAAUCUUGAUUGGGGCAAUCAAAAAAUA
RNAcentral lists this ribosomal RNA (172 nucleotides) under Hyalomma dromedarii. RNAcentral describes it as "partial large subunit ribosomal RNA". The record is from RNAcentral. Lineage: Eukaryota; Metazoa; Arthropoda; Arachnida; Ixodida; Ixodidae.